Molecule: long non-coding RNA, 515 nt
Filed under: Homo sapiens (human)
Lineage: Eukaryota; Metazoa; Chordata; Mammalia; Primates; Hominidae
Description: non-protein coding lnc-RPL24-2:3
Source: RNAcentral
AGGCUUUUCAGUCACAGCACCCUCUGUGACAAACGUGUGGAGCACCGCACGACUUCUUCAACCAGCUGGUUUUUCUGGCAUUCGAAUAAAAGUAAAAAUAGAAAACAAAGAGGGAGAAGAAAAGUGACAAGCUGAAACCUGCGAAGAGAAAGAGGACAAGAAAUGAACAAGUUGAUCUGGUCUUGAGGGAGGAGGAGGCACAGGAACACAGUAAAGGAACCUAUCUGAGGAGCUGCAGACAUGAACCAACAAAGCCAGAAGAGCCUGAAGCAAUACUGCAAGUGGGUGCUUUGGUACUGCUUUGAAGCAUCUUUCCAGACUCUGCAGUAGCCAAGGCCUGUGACUCCAGUCCCUGAGAAAGUACCAUCAGGAGCAAUACGUAAGCUUUUCAGGGACAAAGAACCUUGUCCUCUUAAUCUGGAUUCACAAUUCACAAUUAUACCCCUAGCCUGCCCAACGCCUUUUUCUCAGUCUCUGAGAAGUAUUGACUCUCUUUUACCUAAGAGCAGGAGUCU